GACGAACGCUGGCGGCGUGCCUAAUACAUGCAAGUAGAACGCACAGUUUAUACCGUAGCUUGCUACACCAUAGACUGUGAGUUGCGAACGGGUGAGUAACGCGUAGGUAACCUGCCUGGUAGCGGGGGAUAACUAUUGGAAACGAUAGCUAAUACCGCAUAAUAUUAAUUAUUGCAUGAUAAUUAAUUGAAAGGUGCAAUUGCACCACUACCAGAUGGACCUGCGUUGUAUUAGCUAGUAGGUGAGGUAACGGCUCACCUAGGCGACGAUACAUAGCCGACCUGAGAGGAGGAUCGGCCACACUGGGACUGAGACACGGCCCAGACUCCUACGGGAGGCAGCAGUAGGGAAUCUUCGGCAAUGGACGAAAGUCUGACCGAGCAACGCCGCGUGAGUGAAGAAGGUUUUCGGAUCGUAAAGCUCGGUUGUAAGAGAAGAACGGGUGUGAGAGUGGAAAGUUCACACUGUGACGGUAUCUUACCAGAAAGGGACGGCUAACUACGUG
RNAcentral lists this ribosomal RNA (505 nucleotides) under uncultured bacterium. Its description in RNAcentral is "partial 16S ribosomal RNA". It matches the Rfam family "Bacterial small subunit ribosomal RNA", at positions 28 to 507 of the family's 1533-position model. The record is from RNAcentral.